Molecule: ribosomal RNA, 164 nt
Filed under: Cliffortia ruscifolia
Lineage: Eukaryota; Viridiplantae; Streptophyta; Magnoliopsida; Rosales; Rosaceae
Description: 5.8S ribosomal RNA
Rfam family: 5.8S ribosomal RNA
About the family: 5.8S ribosomal RNA (5.8S rRNA) is a component of the large subunit of the eukaryotic ribosome.
Source: RNAcentral
UAAAUGACUCUUCGCAACGGAUAUCUCGGCACUCGUAUCUAUGAAGAACGUAGCAAAAUGCAAUACUUAUUGUGAAUUGCAUAAUCCCUUGAACCAUCGAGUAUUUGAAAGUAAGUUGCGCUCAAAGCCAUAAGGCCAAGGGCACGUCUGCCUGAGCAUCACAC